CCUCCACACCCAGGAAAGGUCCCAUAAUCUAUCUGCUGACAUGCUCCAAGCCCCUCCCUCUUCAGGGUGAGCCUGUCCUGGCUUUAAAAAUCCAAGCUGGUGCUUGGGUCAGCACAGCAGUCAGCAGGAUCGAUUGUCCUUGACCACCUGGAACUCCAACCAUGGCCAGUACCGGAGUAGAGGACCUGAAGCAGGAGGUGGAAGGAGCCACCCAGGAAGCCAGUGAAAAGGACAACUCCAUCCCAGGGGCCGGAAAUGAAGGCAUGGACAAGUGCUGCCUGGAACCCAACGACAAGGCUGCUAACCAGGGAUCCGACAACAAGGACAAACAAUUGAGCCACCAGAAGUGACAAAAAAAUGUGGACCCCGCGUUCCGUUCUGCUGGUACCUCCCUGAUUUGCUUUUAAUUAAAAUUCAUGUUGUCCUGA
Molecule: long non-coding RNA, 428 nt
Organism: Nannospalax galili (Upper Galilee mountains blind mole rat)
Lineage: Eukaryota; Metazoa; Chordata; Mammalia; Rodentia; Spalacidae
Exons: 3
Source: RefSeq, a predicted model, not a curated record